ACGGGGUGCAGCAGGCGCGAAACCUUUACAAUGCACGCAAGUGUGAUAAGGGGAUCCCAAGUGCCUAUGUUUUUCAUAGGCUUUUCUAAAGUUUAAAACGCUUUAGGAAUAAGAGCUGGGUAAGACGGGUGCCAGCCGCCGCGGUAAUACCCGCAGCUCGAGUUAUUUGGAGUUUUAUUGGGUCUAAAGCGUUCGUAGCCGGUCUUUCAAGUUCCCUGUGAAAUCUGAUCGCUUAACGAUUAGACGCGCAGAGAAUACUGUAAGACUAGGGAGUGGAAUGGGCCAGAGGUACUCUUGGGGUAGGGGUGAAAUCCAAUAAUCCUGAGGGGACCACCUGUGGCGAAGGCGUCUGGCUAAGACACGUCCGACGGUGAGGAACGAAAGCUAGGGGAGCAAAUCGGAUUAGAUACCCGAGUAGUCCUAGCCGUAAAUGAUGCAGACUAGGUGUUGCAUGUUCUUCUUGAGCAUGCAGUGCCGAAGGGAAGCCGUUAAGUCUGCCACCUGGGAAGUACGGUCGCAAGGCUGAAACUUAAAGGAAUUGACGGGGGAGCACCACAAGGGGUGGAGCUUGCGGUUUAAUUGGAUAUUACUCCGGAAAUCUCACCAGGAGCGACAGCAGUAUGAAGGUCAGCCUGAUGAGCUUACUCGACUCGUUGAGAGGUAGUGCAUGGCCGCCGUCAGUUCGUGCCUUGAGGUGUUCGGUUAAGUCCGACAACGAACAAGACCCACGUCUCUAGUUGCUAAUCAUUUCUUCGGAGAUGAUGCACUUUAGAGAGACCGCUGGUGAUAA
Molecule: ribosomal RNA, 790 nt
Filed under: uncultured archaeon
Lineage: Archaea
Description: bacterial SSU rRNA
Rfam family: Archaeal small subunit ribosomal RNA
Source: RNAcentral